UAUUACAUCAAGGCCUACAUUAUAGUCGCAGAUGGGUGAAUAGGAUUGCUCCGAAACGUUUGCCGCCUACAAUUUGGAGGGGUUCGAGGAACCCACUGAAGGCCAAGAUUUCCGUAAUCC
This is a long non-coding RNA of Aedes aegypti (yellow fever mosquito), 120 nucleotides long. RefSeq lists it as uncharacterized. The transcript is spliced from 2 exons. The record is from RefSeq and is a predicted model, not a curated record. Lineage: Eukaryota; Metazoa; Arthropoda; Insecta; Diptera; Culicidae.